This 250-nucleotide ribosomal RNA is filed under the name uncultured bacterium. RNAcentral describes it as "partial 16S ribosomal RNA". It matches the Rfam family "Bacterial small subunit ribosomal RNA", at positions 524 to 773 of the family's 1533-position model. The record is from RNAcentral.
UACGAAGGGGGCUAGCGUUGUUCGGAAUUACUGGGCGUAAAGGGCGCGUAGGCGGUCCGCUCAGUCAGAAGUGAAAGCCCCGGGCUCAACCUGGGAAUUGCUUUUGAUACUGGUGGACUUGAGUUCCGGAGAGGAUGGUGGAAUUCCCAGUGUAGAGGUGAAAUUCGUAGAUAUUGGGAAGAACACCGGUGGCGAAGGCGGCCAUCUGGACGGACACUGACGCUGAGGCGCGAAAGCGUGGGGAGCAAAC